CCUACGGGAGGCUGCAGUGAGGAAUAUUGGUCAAUGGUCGGGAGACUGAACCAGCCAAGCCGCGUGAGGGAGGAAGGUACAGAGUAUCGUAAACCUCUUUUGUCAGGGAACAAAGGCGGGGACGUGUCCCCGGAUGAGUGUACCUGAAGAAAAAGCAUCGGCUAACUCCGUUCCAGCAGCCGCGGUAAUACGGAGGAUGCGCUCGUUAUCCGGAUUUAUUGGGUUUAAAGGGUGCGCAGGCGGUCUGUUAAGUCAGCGUUCAAAGCCCGGGGCUCAACCAUAGAAUUGCCGUUGAAACUGGGAGGCUUGAGUAUGUUUGAGGCAGGCGGAAGGCGUGGUGUAGUGGUGAAAUGCUUAGAUAUCACGCAGAACCCCGAUUGCGAAGGCAGACUGCCAAGCCAUGACUGACGCUGAUGCACGAAAGCGUGGGGAUCAAACAGGAUUAGAGACCCGGGUAGUG
This 460-nucleotide ribosomal RNA is filed under the name uncultured bacterium. RNAcentral describes it as "partial 16S ribosomal RNA". It matches the Rfam family "Bacterial small subunit ribosomal RNA", at positions 338 to 795 of the family's 1533-position model. The record is from RNAcentral.